This 513-nucleotide ribosomal RNA is filed under the name uncultured Actinomycetes bacterium. RNAcentral's name for it is "bacterial SSU rRNA". It matches the Rfam family "Bacterial small subunit ribosomal RNA", at positions 373 to 896 of the family's 1533-position model. Lineage: Bacteria; Bacillati; Actinomycetota; Actinomycetes. The record is from RNAcentral.
GGGCGGAAGCCUGAUCCAGCAACGCCGCGUGAGGGAUGACGGCCUUCGGGUUGUAAACCUCUUUCAGUACCGACGAAGCGCGAGUGACGGUAGGUACAGAAGAAGCACCGGCCAACUACGUGCCAGCAGCCGCGGUAAUACGUAGGGUGCGAGCGUUGUCCGGAAUUAUUGGGCGUAAAGGGCUCGUAGGCGGUUUGUCGCGUCGGGAGUGAAAACGCCGUGCUUAACACGGCGCUUGCUUUCGAUACGGGCAGACUAGAGGUAUGCAGGGGAGAACGGAAUUCCUGGUGUAGCGGUGAAAUGCGCAGAUAUCAGGAGGAACACCGGUGGCGAAGGCGGUUCUCUGGGCAUGACCUGACGCUGAGGAGCGAAAGUGUGGGGAGCGAACAGGAUUAGAUACCCUGGUAGUCCACACCGUAAACGUUGGGCGCUAGGUGUGGGGUCCAUUCCACGGAUUCCGUGCCGCAGCUAACGCAUUGAGCGCCCCGCCUGGGGAGUACGGCCGCAAGGCUA